Molecule: ribosomal RNA, 476 nt
Filed under: uncultured bacterium
Lineage: Bacteria
Description: bacterial SSU rRNA
Rfam family: Bacterial small subunit ribosomal RNA
Source: RNAcentral
CGCUGGCGGCGUGCUUAACACAUGGCAAGUCGAACGGGGUACCCGAGAAUGAAGCUUCGGCAGAUUUCUUGGACUACUUAGUGGCGGACGGGUGAGUAACACGUGAGUAACCUGCCCUUGAGAGGGGAAUAACGUACCGAAAGGUACGCUAAUACCGCAUUAACAUAUAUUUGUCGCAUGUCAGAUAUAUCAAAGAUUUAUCGCUCAAGGAUGGACUCGCGUCCGAUUAGAUAGUUGGUGAGGUAACGGCUCACCAAGUCGACCGAUCGGUAGCCGGACUGAGAGGUUGGCCGGCCACAUUGGGACUGAGACACGGCCCAGACUCCUACGGGAGGCAGCAGUGGGGAAUAUUGCGCAAUGGGGGCAACCCUGAUGCGGCGACGCCGCGUGAGCGAAGAAGUAUUUCGGUAUGUAAAGCUCUAUCAGCAAGGAAGAUAAUGACGGUACUUGACUAAGAAGCCCCGGCUAACUACGUG